AGCUCAUUUAGAGACGUUUCACUUCUGAUUCAAAAUGUCAAAUGUUCAACAUGUGCCAGUUGGCAACAUGGCCGUAUGGGAACCGGCUGUACAUUUGUCCGACAGCCCGGAAAGAUUUCCUGUUAAAUAAUGGCCAGGGAUAGUGCGCCAAAGCCUUCUUCAUUCACUCACGUAGGAUAAGACAAUAACACAGUGUAAUCCUUGCAAUAUUUAAACCGUACGGCACGAUUUUGUGAUUAAACUAGAGGGCGUGCUACAUCACUAGUGGAAGUGACUGAAGGCGAGGCGCAAACACAGCAAGGGAGGACCCAUGUUACUUUAAUGAGAUAUGCUGACUAAAGAAGAGGAUAAGUGUACAAGCUGGCAACAGCGUUUGGGAUAAACACACACAAGAUGGCCCACAUGGUCAUGAAAAAGGCCUCUAGAUUGUGAAAGAAUAUACUGCACGAAUGACUUCAGAUAACAAUCUUUUUUUAAUUGUUUAAUUAAAAUUCCACAGAAGUCGAACCAGAAAUCAAAAUGGAUGAGCACGAUCUGGACAAAUCACUCUGGAGUAUGACAAAUUUUACCAACUUGGAGGCACCGGUGUAUCCGGACAACCCAGAGCCCACAAAUGUCAAAGUGCUGAUUGUGGGAUGUUGUCUCUGUGCUGCCACGGUGCUGUUUAAUCUACUGCUGGCUGCGUCGCUGAUUGCUGGGAAGAAUUAUAACACCUUCACCGUGUGCGUGUUUCACAUGGUGGCGCUGGACGUAGCUGUAGGAGCGUGCGUGUUUCCCAUAAGCGUCUCCAACGAGUACCGUAACAGUUUCUGGCACUACAGUGACAUCGUCUGCGACUUCUGGGUGACUCUAGACUAUUUCCUGCCCAUUCUGAUCUUUGUUACGUGCUCUGUGAUUCAUGUGGAACGCCUUCUUCAGCUCUGCCGCCCCACGUAUCGUCUAUGGCGGGAAAUUUGGUCCUGGAAACAUUUCUUGCUCAUCUGGGUUCCGUGGGGCUGCUGUCUGGUGAUCGGCGUGCCUCUAUACGUCGUAGGGACUCAGCAAAAUGAAGAUCCCAUAAGUGCUUCGGAAACCAGGGUCUGUUCCACCCAGUGGCAGCAAUCUAUCUAUCUGAUCUUCACUGCGGUCUUUGUACUUCCUGCCUUUGUUAAUCGUCGUCGUCACUCUCUUCGCUGCUGUGGGCUGCUCGUUUCGCGUCGCGUGUAGAGGCAACGAAGGAGACGCCCAGGGCGGUACCGUAUCGCCAGCAAUAGCAUUGGUCCUCGUCACGAUGUCUAUGAUCUUGAUGAUGCUGCCAAUCGUCCUCAUCGCCUUCUUAUCCAUGGUGCUGCCGUAUUCAAGGAUCGAUGAAAUCAGUCCGUUGGUUUACCUCACUUUAUACUGGAUCAGCUUCAGCAGCUCCGCUGUAAGGCCUCUCUGUUGGUUGGUGGAUCCCGAAAUCCGUUUGGGCUAUGCAGCGUUAUUCUGCAAGUGUUGCUGUAGGAAGUCCCAAAGUGUGCCCGUCCAUGGGGCUAGUUUAAAUAAGGCAUGAUACAUUGUGUCCCACUUUUACACAUUUUAAUUUCCCAAAAGAGUAAAAGCCGCGUUAUGGCUAGAUAAGCACAUCGAGCAAAGCACAAAUUGUAAAUCUUUCUGGGCUCCAAGCAAAGAGAAGGUAGCUAGGUGGACUUUCCAACUUUCCAGCAGGUUCUUACACUGCUAAGCAUAAAAAUUAAGGAGCUUGAUUCCACUAAUGUGUAUGUUGACAUAACAUUUUUUAUGUGUUGUCAGUUAGUUCAACUCCAAGGGUCUACAAACCCGCUUAAAUUAAAUUUUAAAAUCAGGUUUAAGUCAAAAGGUCGCCACAAUACGUGUGUAAUAUUGCAUUGCAGCAAUGGCGACACACCGUAGUAUUUCAUUCCACACUUGCUUCUACCUCAUUCAAUAUGAAAGACAUUUUCAUACAGGAAGACGACUUACUCUCAUAAUAUGAAUAAUGCUGAAACAAAAUACAUUUUAGCCGUGUUCCUGCUUGUUUUAUUGCAACACAAUUGAUUUACCUUACAUCCAAUUCCAAUGACAUUCACCCUCCUUGCAGAAUAUAUGUAUAUAUCUCGAGAAAUGUCCUGUCAGUAUACGAAUAAAUGAAUACAGGUUCUGACUGGGUCAGUCAUUAUAAGGAA
Liolophura sinensis is the source of this 2162-nucleotide RNA transcript. It is a transcript of the gene named D(1B) dopamine receptor-like, with no coding region annotated. The record is from RefSeq and is a predicted model, not a curated record. The transcript is spliced from 2 exons. Lineage: Eukaryota; Metazoa; Mollusca; Polyplacophora; Chitonida; Chitonidae.